RNAcentral lists this ribosomal RNA (724 nucleotides) under uncultured eukaryote. Its description in RNAcentral is "bacterial SSU rRNA". It matches the Rfam family "Eukaryotic small subunit ribosomal RNA", at positions 673 to 1409 of the family's 1831-position model. The record is from RNAcentral.
UGGGCCACCGUUUGUUGAGUGCAAAUAUGGAUGACUGUUUUUGCCGGCUUCACUGUCGGCUUAUAAGGGUUAUCAAAUAUCACUUUGAUUAAAUUAGAGUGCUCAAAGCAAGUGUGUUACUUGGAUAUAAAUGCAUGGAAUGAUGGAAUAUGUUGUUGUUCUAUUUGUCGGUUUUUGAACGAUGAAAUGAUUGAAAGGAACCGUUGGGGGCAUUCGUAUUGUUGUGAGAGAGGUGAAAUUCUUAGACCACAGCAAGACGAACUACUGCGAAAGCAUUUGCCAAGAAUGUUUUCAUUGAUCAAGAACGAAAGUUAGAGGUUCGAAGGCGAUCAGAUACCGCCCUAGUUCUAACCAUAAACUAUGCCAACUAGCAAUCUGCUUAUAUAUGUUCUAUGAUUAAGUAGGCGGCCACGGGAGACCAAAGUAGGGUUAUGGGGGAAGUAUGGUUGCAAAGCUGAAACUUAAAGGAAUUGACGGAAGGGCACCACCAGGAGUGGAGCCUGCGGCUUAAUUUGACUCAACACGGGAAAACUUACCUGGUCCUGACACUAGAAGGAUUGACAGAUUGAUAGCUCUUUCUUGAUUUGGUGGAUGGUGGUGCAUGGCCGUUCUUAGUUGGUGGAGUGAUUUGUCUGGUUAAUUCCGAUAACGAACGAGACCUUAUUCUGCUAAAUAGACAGACUCAUUUUUUAAUGGGGUUGAAGGCUUCGGUCUUUGCUGUCUU